CGCCCGCCGCGCCCCGCGCCCGUCCCGCCGCCCCCGCCCGCUCCUACGGGAGGCAGCAGUAGGGAAUUUUCGUCAAUGGGCGCAAGCCUGAACGAGCAAUGCCGCGUGAACGAGGAAGGUCUUCGGAUCGUAAAGUUCUGUUGAGAGGGAAAAAGGGUCACCAGAGGAAAUGCUGGUGAAGUGAUAUUACCUUUCGAGGAAGUCACGGCUAACUACGUGCCAGCAGCCGCGGUAAUACA
Molecule: ribosomal RNA, 239 nt
Filed under: uncultured organism
Description: partial 16S ribosomal RNA
Rfam family: Bacterial small subunit ribosomal RNA
Source: RNAcentral